GUAGGGUGCGAGCGUUAAUCGGAAUUACUGGGCGUAAAGCGUGCGCAGGCGGUUUUGUAAGCCAGAUGUGAAAUCCCCGGGCUCAACCUGGGAAUGGCAUUUGGGACUGCAAGGCUGGAGUGUGGCAGAGGAGACUGGAAUUCCUGGUGUAGCAGUGAAAUGCGUAGAUAUCAGGAGGAAUACCGAUGGCGAAGGCAGGUCUCUGGGCUAACACUGACGCUCAUGCACGAGAGCGUGGGGAGCAAACAGGAUUAGAUACCCUGGUAGUCCACGCCCUAAACGAUGUCGACUGGUUGUUGGGGGUUUGACACUCUCAGUAACGAAGCUAACGCGUGAAGUCGACCGCCUGGGGAGUACGGCCGCAAGGUUA
RNAcentral lists this ribosomal RNA (370 nucleotides) under uncultured organism. RNAcentral's name for it is "bacterial SSU rRNA". It matches the Rfam family "Bacterial small subunit ribosomal RNA", at positions 527 to 896 of the family's 1533-position model. The record is from RNAcentral.